This 76-nucleotide transfer RNA is filed under the name Pseudomonadota bacterium. RNAcentral describes it as "tRNA-Asn". It matches the Rfam family "tRNA". From Rfam's summary of the family: Transfer RNA (tRNA) molecules are approximately 80 nucleotides in length. Their secondary structure includes four short double-helical elements and three loops (D, anti-codon, and T loops). Further hydrogen bonds mediate the characteristic L-shaped molecular structure. tRNAs have two regions of fundamental functional importance: the anti-codon, which is responsible for specific mRNA codon recognition, and the 3' end, to which the tRNAs corresponding amino acid is attached (by aminoacyl-tRNA synthetases). tRNAs cope with the degeneracy of the genetic code in two manners: having more than one tRNA (with a specific anti-codon) for a particular amino acid; and 'wobble' base-pairing, i.e. permitting non-standard base-pairing at the 3rd anti-codon position. The record is from RNAcentral. Lineage: Bacteria; Pseudomonadati; Pseudomonadota.
UGCCCGAUAGCUCAGUCGGUAGAGCGCCUGGCUGUUAACCAGGAGCGCGGAGGUUCGAAGCCUCCUCGGGCAGCCA